UCCUGGCUCAGAUUGAACGCUGGCGAAAUGCUUUACACAUGCAAGUCGAGCGGCAGCGCGGGGCAACCUGGCGGCGAGCGGCGAACGGGUGAGUAAUACAUCGGAACAUACCCAGUUGUGGGGGAUAGCCCGGCGAAAGCCGGAUUAAUACCGCAUACGACCUGAGGGUGAAAGGGGGGGAUCGCAAGACCUCUCGCAGUUGGAGCGGCCGAUGGCGGAUUAGCUAGUUGGUGAGGUAAAGGCUCACCAAGGCGACGAUCCGUAGCUGGUCUGAGAGGACGACCAGCCACACUGGAACUGAGACACGGUCCAGACUCCUACGGGAGGCAGCAGUGGGGAAUUUUGGACAAUGGGGGCAACCCUGAUCCAGCCAUUCCGCGUGAGUGAAGAAGGCCUUCGGGUUGUAAAGCUCUUUCGGCAGGAACGAAACGGUCUCUCUUAAUACGGGAGGCUAAUGACGGUACCUGAAGAAGAAGCACCGGCUAACUACGUGCCAGCAGCCGCGGUAAUACGUAGGGUGCGAGCGUUAAUCGGAAUUACUGGGCGCAAAGCGUGCGCAGGCGGUUCUAUAAGACAGACGUGAAAUCCCCGGGCUUAACCUGNGAACUGCGUUUGUGACUGUAGGACUCGAGUGUGGCAGAGGGGGGUGGAAUUCCACGCGUA
Molecule: ribosomal RNA, 663 nt
Filed under: uncultured bacterium
Lineage: Bacteria
Description: bacterial SSU rRNA
Rfam family: Bacterial small subunit ribosomal RNA
Source: RNAcentral